UUGGAGGGCAAGUCUGGUGCCAGCAGCCGCGGUAAUUCCAGCUCCAAUAGCGUAUAUUAAAGUUGUUGCAGUUAAAAAGCUCGUAGUUGAAUUUCGGGAUUAGUACGCUGGUCGUGCCUUCGGUACGUACUGGUGUUACUGAUUUCUACCUUCUGACGAACCAUCAUGUCAUUAAUUUGGUGUGGUGGGGAAUCAGGACUGUUACUUUGAAAAAAUUAGAGUGUUUAAAGCAGGCUCGCGCUUGAAUACAUUAGCAUGGAAUAAUGAAAUAGGACGUUGAUCCUAUUUUGUUGGUUUCUAGGAUUGACGUAAUGAUUAAUAGGGAUAGUUGGGGGCAUUAGUAUUCAAUUGUCAGAGGUGAAAUUCUUGGAUUUAUUGAAGACUAACUACUGCGAAAGCAUUUGCCAAGGAUGUUUUCAUUAAUCAAGAACGAAAGUUAGAGGAUCGAAGACGAUCAGAUACCGUCGUAGUCUUAACCAUAAACUAUGCCGACUAGGGAUCGGAUGAUGUUAUUUUUAAUGACUCAUUCGGCGCCUUACGGGAAAC
Molecule: ribosomal RNA, 546 nt
Filed under: uncultured Glomeromycotina
Lineage: Eukaryota; Fungi; Glomeromycota
Description: SSU rRNA
Rfam family: Eukaryotic small subunit ribosomal RNA
Source: RNAcentral